AGCAGCCGCGGUAAUUCCGGCUCCAAUAGCGUAUAUUAAAGUUGCUGCAGUUAAAAAGCUCGUAGUUGAAUUUCGGGACCAAUAUGUCGGUCGUGCCUCGGUACGUACUGGCAUCGUUGGUUUCUCCCUUCUGACGAACCAUGAUGUCAUUUAUUUGGUGUCGUGGGGAAUCAGGACUGUUACUUUGAAAAAAUUAGAGUGUUUAAAGCAGGCUCACGCUUGAAUACAUUAGCAUGGAAUAAUGAAAUAGGACGUUUUGAUUCUAUUUUGUUGGUUUCUAGGAUCGACGUAAUGAUUAAUAGGGAUAGUUGGGGGCAUUAGUAUUCAAUUGUCAGAGGUGAAAUUCUUGGAUUUAUUGAAGACUAACUACUGCGAAAGCAUUUGCCAAGGAUGUUUUCAUUAAUCAAGAACGAAAGUUAGGGGAUCGAAGACGAUCAGAUACCGUCGUAGUCUUAACCAUAAACUAUGCCGACUAGGGAUCGGAUGAUGUUAAUUUUUAAUGACUCAUUCGGCGCCUUAA
Molecule: ribosomal RNA, 520 nt
Filed under: uncultured Glomus
Lineage: Eukaryota; Fungi; Glomeromycota; Glomeromycetes; Glomerales; Glomeraceae
Description: SSU rRNA
Rfam family: Eukaryotic small subunit ribosomal RNA
Source: RNAcentral